Long non-coding RNA from Lepidothrix coronata (blue-crowned manakin), 681 nucleotides. RefSeq lists it as uncharacterized. The record is from RefSeq and is a predicted model, not a curated record. Lineage: Eukaryota; Metazoa; Chordata; Aves; Passeriformes; Pipridae. The transcript is spliced from 6 exons.
AUUCACUCCCAACACACACACAACUCACAAAUGAAAACUGGGGAGUAAAACAUGGAGAAAAGGGAGGCAUAUAGAUCCCACAGAAAGUGAGGAAUUUGCUGCUCCACCUAGAGGAAACAGUCUGAUUUCUUCUGAGAAGAGGCCUGUUUGUCAAUGUUUUAAAUGCAGAUUUCAGCUACAGAAGCUACACCAGUGACAACUAUGAAUAUGGAUAUGACAACAAGCUUGGAAUUACAAGGUUGACAUCAAUGGCUGUAUUAAUAUGAGACAAGAUGGAAACAUAGAUGGCAUGCAUCUAUGCCUGCUACUUCUUUCACAUGAUUUUGAAUUGGUCAGAGCUCCACAGAAUCUUCUCCAAGGGAUGCCAAUGGUAGAAUGCCUCUUGAUGCUCAUGGGAGCUGCAUUGGACCAGCCUUGUAUCCUUUCCACACACUUACUUGUUUUUCAGGUUUCCCUGGCCAAAAAUGCUGCAUCACUCUGCACAUCUUAAUUCUGUUAGUAAAAAAACCUUUUACCCAUGAAUUUGAAGAACUUUGCAAGUCUGCAUAAAUAUAUUUAUGAAAGUUUGACUGCAGAUUAUAUAAAGAUUCCUCCAUUUUGACACAAAUCAAAUUAAUCCUCUUUGAAUCUUCACUGAAAUGGUGAUGCUAGGCUAAAUAAAUCUCUUUGAAUUCUCAUUAA